CGCCUUCAGAUUCAAUAUUGGAGGUCUGGUCUGCCCAGUGUAAUUAAUUAACGGCCGCGGUAUUCUGACUGUGCAAAGGUAGCAUAAUCACUUGCCCUUUAAAUGGGGGAAUGUAUGAAUGAUUAGACGAGGUUUUUACUGUCUCUUCCUUAUAAAUUGAGAUUACAAUACUUGUGAAAAUGCGGGUAAGGUAAUAAAGGACGAGAAGACCCUGUUGAGCUUUUAAGCUAAACUAUAGUACAGGUUAAAGUUAAGUAAUAAUUUACAAUUAAAACGAGUAAUUUUUUGUAGGCUUUUUGGCUGGGGUGGCAAGCAAAGAUAUUAAGCUUUGUUGUAGUAUACAUUUUGUAUUUCUAGAUAAUAUGUAUCUAUAAAUAAUUAAAUUGAUCCGUUAAAAAUAGAACGAUUAAAAGAAUAAGUUACCACAGGGAUAACAGCGUAAUUCUUUUUGAGAGCUCGAAUUGACAAAGGAGUUUGCGACCUCGAUGUUGGAUCAAGAUUCCUAGCGGUGUAGCAGCUGUUACGGGUUUGCCUGUUCGGCGAUUAAUAUCU
Molecule: ribosomal RNA, 552 nt
Filed under: Branchiostoma japonicum (Japanese lancelet)
Lineage: Eukaryota; Metazoa; Chordata; Leptocardii; Amphioxiformes; Branchiostomatidae
Description: partial 16S ribosomal RNA
Rfam family: Bacterial large subunit ribosomal RNA
Source: RNAcentral